AAGUCGUAUCAAGGUUUCCGUAGUGAACCGCGGAAGGAUCAUUACCCCUGUGAACCUUCACCUGUACUCGUUAGAAAAAGCAGCAAUCCCUUCGAUGCAUGUUGUGCGAAGGAAGUGGCCUGCAUCCCCAAGCAGUUAAAGUGUCAUUAACUGGGAAAGGAUGACGCAGUCACGAUUGUUGGAGGCCCACACGGCCGACGACCGGGUCACAGCCCCUCUAACAAACCCCCUGCCAAUCGCGGUCGCGAUAAUUCGCAAUCGACCAAAAACCGAACAGGAAACAAUGGAUAUCGUGGUUCUG
Molecule: unclassified non-coding RNA, 301 nt
Filed under: fungal sp.
Lineage: Eukaryota; Fungi
Description: partial internal transcribed spacer region
Source: RNAcentral